UCACAACAGAACGCAUACGCUGAACCUGACGAAGAAACUCUCUUUCUCGGGGAUUCUUGAGGCUUCUUGAUCGGCUUUCCUUCUCCGUCGUCCUUCAGACACCAUUAGCCACCCUUGUAGCCGCUCCGCCAUUGCUGGUUUUGUUGUAGCAAGGCCAACUCUCGUUCUGCUCUGUUCUAUGGUCAGGACGCUCGCAAGUUCACGAACCUUGGUCGCUCCGCUUUCGCCGGCCCCAAUCAUCGGCAUUGACACCAGCAGGAGCUUUGUCAAUGAUUUGAUCACCGUCCGAGGUAAAAAACUUAAAUGUCAUCAAGUUUCCUUCUCUCUCUCCUCCAAUAGCAUCAGACUCGCGCUCAACCCUCUCUCCGGGAUUAAAUUCCUUUCCUGCGAAACCUGCAACAGUGCAACCACGUUCGCCACCUCCCCCAGAUCGCCUUCCGGAAUCUGAAUCCCAUGCCGUAGGGCCUGAAUCCGAAGCUUCAGCCUGGCGAUCUCGACAAGGAGGGACUUCCUCUCGCAAGCCUGCUGCUGCUCCUCGCGUGACCACCUUUGCUCCUCUCGGAGGUGGCGAUGGGACUUAGGGAAGAGGCAGAGAGAAGAAGGUUUGGAGACUCUGAAUGGGAGGGAGGAUGGGCGUUGGUGGUGGACUCGGUGGAGGGGAGGAUAGGUGCAGGGUGGGACUUGGUGGAGUGGUAGGUGGGUUAUGGAGUGGGGAGAGAGACAAGGGUUCGGAGAGCAAGAUGGAGAAGAAGACGAGGGAGAGAUAUUUUUGCGGAGCCACCUCGAUUGUACCAACUUCGCUCCCUCCCUCUCGUCUCGUCUCCAUCCCAUAUGCAUACGCAACCCUCCACCCUCCUCCUCCUCCUCCUCCGUCGUCGAACGCUCCAGUUUCCCCCAUUCUCAUUUGUGCAAAUUCCUGUUCUCGUCGAUCCUUCGCUCUCCCUCUCGCCAAGCGGUUGUGGUGCCCCUCUUCAGUUCGAUUGGGGAUCGGUUUCGGGUGGAGACGAUUCCCAUCAAUUCGUGAUUAGCGAUGGGGGAACUUAUGCUCACGAACCUGUUGAAGAAGGCGGCGUUGGAUUUCUCCGACGGGAGAGCCGUGUCCGCCUAUGGGGAGUUCAACCUGACGCACGUGCGGCUGCACGACGUCAUUGCACUCGCUUUCCCCAACACAGUUUGUGAUCCUGUUUCUGGCGGUAAUCCGUUGCGCAGCCAUCGCAGCUCCACCCAACGCCAUCUACACAGCUAAGGAGUUUUGAGUUCUACCUUUUCGACUCGGAACCGAAGCUUUUAUUGACACCACAAGAAGGAAACCGAUGGGCUCAAUCUGCUGCUUCCAAGCUUAACAUUCACCACCUAACUGCCAAGCUUUCACUCCACCGAUUCGAAAAUCUCUCUCUUUGUCCGACGUAGAGCCGAGCCUCGGCUCAACGUCAAAAGUUGUCAAUGAUCCCUCGGAUGUAGCUCUGUUCAUGCACACCUCUGACGCUACGGGUCGCCCCAAUUGCAUGCUGCUAACUCAAUGCAAUUUGGCAUCAUCGGUUCAGAACAUCAAGUGGGUGUACAAACUAACAAAGUUAGAC
Molecule: long non-coding RNA, 1580 nt
Organism: Eucalyptus grandis
Lineage: Eukaryota; Viridiplantae; Streptophyta; Magnoliopsida; Myrtales; Myrtaceae
Exons: 3
Source: RefSeq, a predicted model, not a curated record